UCUCACUCUCUGGAUCGGUCCCUCCCUCCUCUCUCUAAGGCUUCUGCCCUUUCCCCCUGCCUCCCUUGUCUCCACCCGCCUAGAUCACUGUCUCACAGUCAUUCUGUGGAACUUCCUCUGUGUCUCUCACUGGAGCCGCCUAACUUCCUCUCCCACCUCCCUUCAUCAAGGAGCAGUCUCAUGCCCAGGAGCUAGAAAUGUAGGCUUUGCCGGCAUUGGUUGAGCUGUGCUGGGCCCUAGGCAGCGAUGACUCAAACUUGACCCUUAACCCCCAGGCAGGUGGGGUUGGGGAGAGGCCUCGGGAUGGCAAGGACCAGGGUCUGCGGCCAAGCCUGUGGGUCCUGUCUCCCUCUAGGAUGCCCCUGGGACACUGGUACCCAUGGAUGCACUGGGUGACUUGAGGUGCUUGCUGCAGAGGCAUCGGGGGUCUCUGGCCAGAGGUGACAUCUGAAGCAAUCGGGAUCCUGUUUGGUUUUGCCACAUCCGACCUGCCGCCCAGCUGGGGCAAGACAGCCACGCGCGGCGGAUGCACCGGCCCUGAACUCUUUCUCGAGUAGUCCCCAGAGAUUUCAGGAAGAGAGAGAAGAGGUAAAGAGACCAGAAACAAAGUCUUCUGCAAGCAAAGAACUGCAACAGGCCCCAGCUGUUAGGUUUGAGGGGCGUAUGGGGCAGGCGACUGAACUGCAGAGUUGGAGCCAGAGGUACCAUUGCUGACCCCUGAGCCCAGGAGCCUUGAGAAUACUGACAGUGUUAAUAAUAACUGCAAUCAUCCAACAUAUGAUGCUAGAAUAACUGGACAUCUGUGUGCAAAAAUAUUAAACCUAUACCUUGCACCUUA
RNAcentral lists this long non-coding RNA (838 nucleotides) under Homo sapiens (human). RNAcentral's name for it is "HSALNT0371080". Lineage: Eukaryota; Metazoa; Chordata; Mammalia; Primates; Hominidae. The record is from RNAcentral.